GAUGAACGCUGGCGGCGUGCCUAAUACAUGCAAGUCGAGCGAACAGACGAGGAGCUUGCUCCUCUGACGUUAGCGGCGGACGGGUGAGUAACACGUGGAUAACCUACCUAUAAGACUGGGAUAACUUCGGGAAACCGGAGCUAAUACCGGAUAAUAUAUUGAACCGCAUGGUUCAAUAGUGAAAGACGGUUUUGCUGUCACUUAUAGAUGGAUCCGCGCCGCAUUAGCUAGUUGGUAAGGUAACGGCUUACCAAGGCAACGAUGCGUAGCCGACCGGAGAGGGUGGUCGGCCACACUGGAACUGAGACACGGUCCAGACGCCUACGGGAGGCAGCAGUAGGGAAUCUUCCGCAAUAGGCGAAAGCCUGACGGAGCAACGCCGCGUGAGUGAUGAAGGUCUUCGGAUCGUAAAACUCUGUUAUUAGGGAAGAACAAAUGUGUAAGUAACUAUGCACGUCUUGACGGUACCUAAUCAGAAAGCCACGGCUAACUACGUG
Molecule: ribosomal RNA, 497 nt
Filed under: uncultured bacterium
Lineage: Bacteria
Description: partial 16S ribosomal RNA
Rfam family: Bacterial small subunit ribosomal RNA
Source: RNAcentral